GUCUUUUUGAUUAUAAUUUAAAGUCUAAUCUGCCCAAUGAAUUAUUUUGAAUGGCUGCGGUAUUUUGACCGUACAAAGGUAGCAUAAUAAUUAGUUUUUUAAUUGAAAACUGGUAUGAAUGAUUGGACAAGAAAAUUACUGUCUCAAUUUAAUUUUUAGUAGAAUUUUAUAUUUAAGUAAAAAAGCUUAAAUAAUUUUAAAAGACGAGAAGACCCUAUAGAGUUUUAUAUUAAUUUAAUUUAAUUAAAUUUAGUAUUUAUUUUAUUAUUUAUAAAUUAAUAUUUUAUUGGGGUGAUAGAAAAAUUUAAUUAACUUUUUUUUUUAUUUUCCAUUAAUAUAUGAAUUUUUGAUCCAUUAUUUAUGAUUAUAAGAUUAAAUUACCUUAGGGAUAACAGCGUAAUUUUUUUUGAAAGUUCUAAUUGAAAAAAAAGUUUGCGACCUCGAUGUUGGAUUAAA
This 456-nucleotide ribosomal RNA is filed under the name Australammoecius occidentalis. RNAcentral's name for it is "partial 16S ribosomal RNA". Lineage: Eukaryota; Metazoa; Arthropoda; Insecta; Coleoptera; Scarabaeidae. The record is from RNAcentral.